Molecule: ribosomal RNA, 501 nt
Filed under: uncultured bacterium
Lineage: Bacteria
Description: partial 16S ribosomal RNA
Rfam family: Bacterial small subunit ribosomal RNA
Source: RNAcentral
AUUGAACGCUGGCGGCAUGCCUUACACAUGCAAGUCGAACGGCAGCACGGGUGCUUGCACCUGGUGGCGAGUGGCGAACGGGUGAGUAAUACAUCGGAACGUACCUUAUCGUGGGGGAUAACGCAGCGAAAGCUGUGCUAAUACCGCAUACGCCCUGAGGGGGAAAGCGGGGGAUCGCAAGACCUCGCGCGAUUAGAGCGGCCGAUGCCUGAUUAGCUAGUUGGUGGGGUAAAAGCCCACCAAGGCGACGAUCAGUAGCUGGUCUGAGAGGACGAUCAGCCACACUGGGACUGAGACACGGCCCAGACUCCUACGGGAGGCAGCAGUGGGGAAUUUUGGACAAUGGGGGCAACCCUGAUCCAGCAAUGCCGCGUGAGUGAAGAAGGCCUUCGGGUUGUAAAGCUCUUUUGUCAGGGAAGAAACACCGGCUCUAUCACAGUCCGGGAAUGACGGUACCUGAAGAAUAAGCGCCGGCUAACUACGUGCCAGCCGCCGCUGUAA